Molecule: long non-coding RNA, 527 nt
Filed under: Homo sapiens (human)
Lineage: Eukaryota; Metazoa; Chordata; Mammalia; Primates; Hominidae
Description: HSALNT0076015
Source: RNAcentral
UAAGAUUGUAGGAACUUACAACGCAAGUGGAAUCAUCCUGCCAUGAUACAGUCUGACGGGCAGAAGGGCACCAUGUGAUGAAAAGAGUGAUCAGGAGACAUCAGUGAAAAAGAGAGAUGGCGUCUUACUAUGUUGCCCAAACUAGUCUCGAACUCCUGGCCUCAAGCAAUUCCCUUGCCUUGGAAUCCCAUAACACUGGAAUUAUAGGCAUGAGCCACCACACUCAGCCUGACAUACUCAUUUUUAAGCAAAGGACUUCUAAGUCAUGGCUUGUUAAUCUAACACCGACGAUAACGUCCCAGGCAGAAGCCACAGCCCAGAAGACUUCCCAGCGUGGGAAGGCUUAGGAGACCAGCUGGCAUCAGGCACAUUCCACAGAAAUACUGAGAAACUUGUGAAGAACAAACAGACCUGGCAGGAGCAAGAGGAAGAUACCUGGCCUGAGUAGCACUAAAUAUGUCCCAAUUAAACAGAACUACUAUCCCAAUUAAGCAACUGUCAUGACCAUUAAUAAACACAAAAGGGUG